ACCCACCUGACGAGUCCAAAAUAGGACGGAAAGCGCAUUCUGGAU
Molecule: non-coding RNA, 45 nt
Organism: Schistosoma curassoni
Lineage: Eukaryota; Metazoa; Platyhelminthes; Trematoda; Strigeidida; Schistosomatidae
Source: Rfam